Anneissia japonica is the source of this 263-nucleotide long non-coding RNA. RefSeq lists it as uncharacterized. The transcript has 3 exons. Lineage: Eukaryota; Metazoa; Echinodermata; Crinoidea; Comatulida; Comatulidae. The record is from RefSeq and is a predicted model, not a curated record.
UUUUUUAUUAGAUUCGCUCGAAUAAAUCAUUGGUAAAGAAACAAAAGAAGUCAGAAGAAGACAGAGGUGACCUAAAGGAAUGCGAGGUCAGCUAUGUCAAGAAAUUCCAAAGUUUUGAGGACCGGAGACUACGUGUGAAUCAAGAAGACCAAAGCAAUCUAGAGCGUGCACAAACAAGUGGAAAAUUACACGAAGAGUUACUUGAUAGGCGAGAAAAGAUGAAAGCUGAUCGGUAUUGCAAAUGAACAAAAAGAGGGCAGCAG